Molecule: non-coding RNA, 350 nt
Organism: Paramuricea clavata
Lineage: Eukaryota; Metazoa; Cnidaria; Anthozoa; Malacalcyonacea; Plexauridae
Source: the annotation of a GenBank genome assembly
GUUCAGGAAAAUCCCUAUCAGGGAAACAACGAUUGGAUCAAAGAAAGGGCACUACAAUUGUUUUAAAAGAUGGUUUUGAAUUGCACGACAACAGUCAAACACCUAAUGAUACGGUUCUGGCAUAUCUGGGCGACGAUACUGUCAUAAAAUCACGCGUAUAAACUCGAGCAGUAAAAGAGGCUUUCCUUGGAGUCUACAUCAAGAGGUAUAGAAAAGAUAACAAAAAUCAGUAUCCUUUUUAUAAAUCUAUAUUAUACAAUUAAACCAAUUAUAUUGUAUAUAUUACAAUAAACUAUCAGGCUUUUGAAUAUCAAUAACAUUACAUAUAUUAUUAGCAACAUCCUCCUGGC